GAGCUUAUUAAGAAUUGGCCAAACAACAGGGAGGGAGAAUUCAAAGGAAUUACUGGAGUCAUAAGUUAUCAACUCAGUGGGGAACACUGUGAGUUUUCUUUCUAUUUCCUCUUUCCUAACAGUUUCCAAAUUAGGAAGAAGGCUUUAAGAGGAUUGCUUGUAGAGAUUGUCUGUCAAAAGAAGAGACUGGCCUCUCACUCUCUGGUUGAACAUGUACUUACAUUACUCGCAGUGCCUUUUUGAGUAGAAAGAACAGAGCGAGAUGGCAAGGUGAGGAGAAGACUAUACAAGUGGCCUUACUCCCACCAUUUGGUCUGGCAAAGAUGGCUGGGUUCUCCAUGGAUCAAAUGGACACAAAGGACAUAAUUAGCUGAACUUAACUCAACAGUGAGAGGACACUGGAAUCAAGACAUAGUGGGGUGUAUUCCUAGAGAAGAAAGUAGGGGCAUUGGAAGAGAUGAGCCAAGUGAGCCUCAAAAGUCAGGGCACGGUGCAGUGGGACAUGCAACAUCCCUGCAAAGUCUCCUAAAGAGCAAGAACCCUCAUUGUCGAACACCUGGAACACCUUCAUCUCAUGAGAGAGACAGGAUAUGGAUACCUGCCACCCAGAGGGUCAUUCCUGGCCAGGAAAGCAGAGACAGCUGACAGGCCCAUGGCUACACCCAGACACCAUACCAGAAACCUGGGAGCCAUCAUAAAUUCUUCUCCAUGUAUCCAACUCAUCACCAAGUCUUG
This 735-nucleotide long non-coding RNA is filed under the name Homo sapiens (human). RNAcentral's name for it is "HSALNT0110438". Lineage: Eukaryota; Metazoa; Chordata; Mammalia; Primates; Hominidae. The record is from RNAcentral.